RNAcentral lists this ribosomal RNA (484 nucleotides) under uncultured bacterium. RNAcentral describes it as "partial 16S ribosomal RNA". It matches the Rfam family "Bacterial small subunit ribosomal RNA", at positions 30 to 507 of the family's 1533-position model. The record is from RNAcentral.
AUUGAACGCUGGCGGCAGGCCUAACACAUGCAAGUCGAGCGGAUGAAGGGAGCUUGCUCCUGGAUUCAGCGGCGGACGGGUGAGUAAUGCCUAGGAAUCUGCCUGGUAGUGGGGGAUAACGUCCGGACACGGGCGCUAAUACCGCAUACGUCCUGAGGGAGAAAGUGGGGGAUCUUCGGACCUCACGCUAUCAGAUGAGCCUAGGUCAGAUUAGCUAGUUGGUGGGGUAAAGGCCUACCAAGGCGACGAUCCGUAACUGGUCUGCGAGGAUGAUCAGUCACACUGGAACUUGAGCACGGUCCAGACUCCUACGGGAGGCAGCAGUGGGGAAUAUUGGACAAUGGGCGAAAGCCUGAUCCAGCCAAGCCGCGUGGGUGAAGGAGGUCUUCGGAUUGUAAAGCACUUGAAGUUGGGAGGAAGGGCAGUAAGUUAAUACCUUGCUGUUUUGACGUGACCAACAGAAUAAGCACCGGCUAACUUCGUG